AGGGACAUGACAUUCCCAACCCCCCCAACCCCGCAAGCCAGACACCCCAGGCAUAUCCAGACGAGAGGCCCACAAGCCCGUGAGCGCACAGCCCCUCUGACCAAGAGCGCGGCAUUCACCAGAGAAACCACGGCACCAAGCCACAACCGUAUGUACAACCGAUGCACCCGAACUCGGUAAUAUAUCCCAUCAGCCUUUACGGUAUCACGUGAUAAUCUGUCAAUGGCAGGUAAACGAGGAGAGAUGACGUACAAAUGGAGUGAUGAUGACAUUAGUAAGAUGAUCCGAUGCUGGAUGGAGAAGGACCACCUCUUCUCCGGGAAGAGGUUUUCUGCUGCAGCAGGAUGGGAAGUUGUGCUGAGGGAAAUUGGCCUGAAUGGAAUGCUGACUCCAGCAGCAAAAAAGUGGGAGAACCUUAAAAAAACCUACAAGGAGCUUCAGAGACCGCCGUCAGGAUCUGGCACUGAAUCUGGGGAGGUCACUGCUGACAAGUGAAAAUAGUUCCCUCUCAUGGAUGAGGCAAUAGGUGGCAGGCCCUCGAUUCGGCCCCCAUGCUUCAUUGCCUCAGCCUGGGGGGAGAGCCAUUCCUUUUCUGAAUCAGGCUCCCCAUAUUCAGUCCCAGAUAGACCUGAUGGAGAGUCAGGGACAGAGGAGGAGGAACCAGGGCCAGCACCACGCAAGCACCAGCGGUGUGAUAGGGUCCUGACAGGAUCCUGGAGCUGCUAGAGAGGGCCUAGGAAAGGGCAACAAGAGAGGAAGCCAGGGAGGAGACACUUUUAAAUCCAUUACAAAAACUGGUGGAUAAAAUGUAAAAAAUAAUAUAUUAAAUUGUUUAAAUCAAGUUAACUUCCAUGGAAACCAGCAAUGGAACAUGCUUGUUCCUCACACAAUAAUGUGAUGGGUGCUCGUUCUGUAGGUAAAACAAAGUUGUUGUUUUUUUUUAAAGGCAAUUUUCACUGUGCUGUUUGAUAAAUUAGAUGAAAUUUCUGGGAAAUAAGAACCCGAUGUGUAGUUUACAAUUGUUUUCACUAGGGGUGCAAUAUGAUCAUCUUAAAAUAACACAACAUAAAUGUGGAA
This 1077-nucleotide long non-coding RNA is filed under the name Takifugu rubripes (torafugu). Its description in RNAcentral is "lncRNA (ENSTRUG00000031013.1)". The record is from RNAcentral. Lineage: Eukaryota; Metazoa; Chordata; Actinopteri; Tetraodontiformes; Tetraodontidae.